RNAcentral lists this transfer-messenger RNA (96 nucleotides) under Methanobacteriota archaeon. RNAcentral's name for it is "Euryarchaeota archaeon partial transfer-messenger RNA". It matches the Rfam family "transfer-messenger RNA", at positions 274 to 374 of the family's 374-position model. From Rfam's summary of the family: Bacterial tmRNA, also known as 10Sa RNA or SsrA, is named for its dual tRNA and mRNA-like properties. Its role is to liberate the mRNA from a stalled ribosome. The record is from RNAcentral. Lineage: Archaea; Methanobacteriati; Methanobacteriota.
UCGGUGUUUAAAUAUAAAAUUAAAGAAAGUGAUAAACAUGUAGAUCAUAAUAUGGAUAGCUAGCGGACGCGGGUUCGAUUCCCGCCGCCUCCAGAA